RNAcentral lists this ribosomal RNA (429 nucleotides) under Bacteroidota bacterium. Its description in RNAcentral is "Bacteroidetes bacterium partial 16S ribosomal RNA". It matches the Rfam family "Bacterial small subunit ribosomal RNA", at positions 355 to 776 of the family's 1533-position model. The record is from RNAcentral. Lineage: Bacteria; Pseudomonadati; Bacteroidota.
UAGGGAAUCUUCGGCAAUGGGGGGAACCCUGACCGAGCAACGCCGCGUGAGUGAAGAAGGUUUUCGGAUCGUAAAGCUCUGUUGUUAAGGAAGAACGAGUGUGAGAAUGGAAAGUUCAUACUGUGACGGUACUUAACCAGAAAGGGACGGCUAACUACGUGCCAGCAGCCGCGGUAAUACGUAGGUCCCGAGCGUUGUCCGGAUUUAUUGGGCGUAAAGCGAGCGCAGGCGGUUAGAUAAGUCUGAAGUUAAAGGCAGUGGCUCAACCAUUGUAGGCUUUGGAAAGUGUUUAACUUGAGUGCAGAAGGGGAGAGUGGAAUUCCAUGUGUAGCGGUGAAAUGCGUAGAUAUAUGGAGGAACACCGGGGGCGAAAGCGGCUCUCUGGUCUGUAACUGACGCGGAGGCUCGAAAGCGUGGGGAGCAAACAGG